Solanum pennellii is the source of this 92-nucleotide small nucleolar RNA. The record is from RefSeq and is a predicted model, not a curated record. Lineage: Eukaryota; Viridiplantae; Streptophyta; Magnoliopsida; Solanales; Solanaceae.
UGAGAUGAUGAUCGCACUGGGCUCUGAGCAGUUUAUUAAUAAAACUGUUUAUAUUGAUGCACAAUUGCUGCCUAGAAAGCUAUAUCUGAUCA